Molecule: ribosomal RNA, 433 nt
Filed under: uncultured bacterium
Lineage: Bacteria
Description: partial 16S ribosomal RNA
Rfam family: Bacterial small subunit ribosomal RNA
Source: RNAcentral
AACGAACGCUGGCGGCAUGCCUAACACAUGCAAGUCGAACGAGACCUUCGGGUCUAUUUGCGCACGGGGGCGUAACGCGUGGUAACCUGCCCUUAGGUUCGGAAUAACUCCCCGAAAGGGGUGCUAAUACCGGUUAAUGUCUUCGGGCCAAAGAUUUAUCGCCUUUGGCUGGGCCCGCGUUGGAUUAGCUAGUUGGUAGGGUAAAAGCCUACCAAGGCGACGAUCCAUAGCUGGUCUGAGAGGAUGAUCAGCCACACUGGGACUGAGACACGGCCCAGACUCCUACGGGAGGCAGGAGUGGGGAAUAUUGGAGGAUGGGCGAAAGCCUGAUCCAGCCAUGCCGCGUGUGUGAUGAAGGGCUUAGGGUUGUAAAGCUCUUUUACCCGGGAUGAUAAUGACAGUACCGGGAGAAUAAGCUCCGGCUAACUCCGUG